ACGGCGAGUGAAGCGGCAACAGCUCAAAUUUGAAAUCUGGCUCUCGGGCCCGAGUUGUAAUUUGUAGAGGAUGCUUUUGGUGAGGUGCCUUCCGAGUUCCCUGGAACGGGACGCCAUAGAGGGUGAGAGCCCCGUCUGGUUGGACGCCGAACCUCUGUAAAGCUCCUUCGACGAGUCGAGUAGUUUGGGAAUGCUGCUCUAAAUGGGAGGUAUAUGUCUUCUAAAGCUAAAUACCGGCCAGAGACCGAUAGCGCACAAGUAGAGUGAUCGAAAGAUGAAAAGAACUUUGAAAAGAGAGUUAAACAGUACGUGAAAUUGUUGAAAGGGAAGCGCUUGUGACCAGACUUGGGCUUGGUUGAUCAUCCGGGGUUCUCCCCGGUGCACUCUUCCGGCUCAGGCCAGCAUCAGUUCGCCCUGGGGGAUAAAGGCAUCGGGAACGUGGCUCUCUCCGGGGAGUGUUA
RNAcentral lists this ribosomal RNA (461 nucleotides) under Fusarium epipeda. Its description in RNAcentral is "[Neocosmospora] epipeda partial large subunit ribosomal RNA". It matches the Rfam family "Eukaryotic large subunit ribosomal RNA", at positions 86 to 558 of the family's 3401-position model. Lineage: Eukaryota; Fungi; Ascomycota; Sordariomycetes; Hypocreales; Nectriaceae. The record is from RNAcentral.